CCUACGGGAGGCUGCAGUGAGGAAUAUUGGUCAAUGGGCUUACGCCUGAACCAGCCAAGUCGCGUGAGGGAAGACUGCCCUAUGGGUUGUAAACCUCUUUUGUCAGGGAGCAACGCCGGCUACGUGUAGCCGGACUGAGAGGACCUGAAGAAAAAGCAGCGGCGAACUCCGUGCCAGCAGCCGCGGUAAUACGUAGGUGGCAAGCGUUGUCCGGAUUGACUGGGUGUAAAGGGCGUGUAGCCGGGUUGACAAGUCAGAUGUGAAAUCCUGCGGCUUAACCGCAGAACUGCAUUUGAAACGGUUGAUCUUGAUUACUGGAGAGGCCGCCGGAAUUCCUCGUGUAGCGG
RNAcentral lists this ribosomal RNA (347 nucleotides) under uncultured bacterium. RNAcentral's name for it is "partial 16S ribosomal RNA". It matches the Rfam family "Bacterial small subunit ribosomal RNA", at positions 338 to 681 of the family's 1533-position model. The record is from RNAcentral.